UCGUACGCACUGGCCCAACUGAUUGAUGGUGCUUGCACCUGAUUGACGAUGGAUCACCAGUGAGUGGCGGACGGGUGAGUAACACGUAGGUAACCUGCCCCGGAGCGGGGGAUAACAUUUGGAAACAGAUGCUAAUACCGCAUAACAACAAAAGCCACAUGGCUUUUGUUUGAAAGAUGGCUUUGGCUAUCACUCUGGGAUGGACCUGCGGUGCAUUAGCUAGUUGGUAAGGUAACGGCUUACCAAGGCGAUGAUGCAUAGCCGAGUUGAGAGACUGAUCGGCCACAAUGGAACUGAGACACGGUCCAUACUCCUACGGGAGGCAGCAGUAGGGAAUCUUCCACAAUGGGCGCAAGCCUGAUGGAGCAACACCGCGUGAGUGAAGAAGGGUUUCGGCUCGUAAAGCUCUGUUGUUGGAGAAGAACGUGCGUGAGAGUAACUGUUCACGCAGUGACGGUAUCCAACCAGAAAGUCACGGCUAACUACGUGCCAGCAGCCGCGGUAAUACGUAGGUGGCAAGCGUUAUCCGGAUUUAUUGGGCGUAAAGCGAGCGCAGGCGGUUGCUUAGGUCUGAUGUGAAAGCCUUCGGCUUAACCGAAGAAGUGCAUCGGAAACCGGGCGACUUGAGUGCAGAAGAGGACAGUGGAACUCCAUGUGUAGCGGUGGAAUGCGUAGAUAUAUGGAAGAACACCAGUGGCGAAGGCGGCUGUCUGGUCUGCAACUGACGCUGAGGCUCGAAAGCAUGGGUAGCGAACAGGAUUAGAUACCCUGGUAGUCCAUGCCGUAAACGAUGAGUGCUAGGUGUUGGAGGGUUUCCGCCCUUCAGUGCCGGAGCUAACGCAUUAAGCACUCCGCCUGGGGAGUACGACCGCAAGGUUGAAACUCAAAGGAAUUGACGGGGGCCCGCACAAGCGGUGGAGCAUGUGGUUUAAUUCGAAGCUACGCGAAGAACCUUACCAGGUCUUGACAUCUUGCGCUAACCUUAGAGAUAAGGCGUUCCCUUCGGGGACGCAAUGACAGGUGGUGCAUGGUCGUCGUCAGCUCGUGUCGUGAGAUGUUGGGUUAAGUCCCGCAACGAGCGCAACCCUUGUUACUAGUUGCCAGCAUUAAGUUGGGCACUCUAGUGAGACUGCCGGUGACAAACCGGAGGAAGGUGGGGACGACGUCAGAUCAUCAUGCCCCUUAUGACCUGGGCUACACACGUGCUACAAUGGACGGUACAACGAGUCGCAAGCUCGCGAGAGUAAGCUAAUCUCUUAAAGCCGUUCUCAGUUCGGACUGUAGGCUGCAACUCGCCUACACGAAGUCGGAAUCGCUAGUAAUCGCGGAUCAGCAUGCCGCGGUGAAUACGUUCCCGGGCCUUGUACACACCGCCCGUCACACCAUGGGAGUUUGUAACGCCCAAAGUCGGUGGCCUAACCU
This 1422-nucleotide ribosomal RNA is filed under the name Limosilactobacillus reuteri. Its description in RNAcentral is "bacterial SSU rRNA". It matches the Rfam family "Bacterial small subunit ribosomal RNA". Lineage: Bacteria; Bacillati; Bacillota; Bacilli; Lactobacillales; Lactobacillaceae. The record is from RNAcentral.